This 302-nucleotide unclassified non-coding RNA is filed under the name uncultured fungus. Its description in RNAcentral is "partial contains 5.8S ribosomal RNA, internal transcribed spacer 2, and large subunit ribosomal RNA". Lineage: Eukaryota; Fungi. The record is from RNAcentral.
AACGCACCUUGCACCCUUUGGUAUUCCGAAGGGUAUGCCCGUUUGAGUGUCAUUGUAAUCUCACACCCCAGACUUCUUGUUGAGGGAGGUGGACUUGGACGUUUUGCUGCUUUACCGCGGCUCGUCUUAAAAGUGUUAGCGCGGCUCUAGACGAAGCGUUGAUGCCCAGUGUAAUAAGUAUUUCGCUGUGGUUAGCAUUAGUCUUUGGAGUUGUUGUGCUCUCUUAAUCGUCUUCGGACUGACCAGCGAUGGUCAUUUGACAACUUGGCCUCAAAUCGGGUAGGACUACCCGCUGAACUUAA